RNAcentral lists this ribosomal RNA (407 nucleotides) under uncultured bacterium. RNAcentral describes it as "bacterial SSU rRNA". It matches the Rfam family "Bacterial small subunit ribosomal RNA", at positions 354 to 776 of the family's 1533-position model. The record is from RNAcentral.
GUGGGGAAUAUUGCACAAUGGGCGCAAGCCUGAUGCAGCAACGCCGCGUGAGCGAGGAAGGCUUUCGGGUCGUAAAGCUCUGUCCUUGGGGAAGAAGGAAGUGACGGUACCCAAGGAGGAAGCCCCGGCUAACUACGUGCCAGCAGCCGCGGUAAUACGUAGGGGGCAAGCGUUAUCCGGAAUUAUUGGGCGUAAAGAGUACGUAGGUGGUUUUGUAAGCGCGGGGUGAAAGGCAGUGGCUUAACCAUUGUUAGCCUUGCGAACUGCAAGACUUGAGUGCAGGAGAGGGAAGCGGAAUUCCUAGUGUAGCGGUGAAAUGCGUAGAUAUUAGGAGGAACACCAGUGGCGAAGGCGGCUUACUGGACGGUAACUGACGUUGAGGCUCGAAAGCGUGGGGAGCAAACAGG